ACAAGCGGUGGAGUAUGUUGUUUAUUCGUAAGAUACACGAAGAACCUUACCAGGUCUUGACAUACCAUUGACAGGUGUAGAGAUACACUCUCCUUCGGGCAAUGGAUACAGGUGGUGCAUGGUUGUCGUCAGCUCGUGCCGUGAGGUGUUGGGUUAAGUCCCGCAACGAGCGCAACCCUCAUUCGUUAGUUACUACCAUUCAGUUGAGGACUCUAAUGAGACUGCCAACGACAAGUUGGAGGAAGGUGGGGAUGACGUCAAAUCAUCAUGCCCUUUAUGACCUGGGCUACAAACGUACUACAAUGGCCAAUACAAAGAGAUGCGAAGCGGUGACGUGAAGCGAACCUCAGAAAGUUGGUCUCAGUUCAGAUUGAAGUCUGCAACUCGACUUCAUGAAGGCGGAAUCGCUAGUAAUCGCGGGUCAGCAGACCGCGGUGAAUACGUUCCCGGGUUUU
RNAcentral lists this ribosomal RNA (455 nucleotides) under uncultured Mollicutes bacterium. RNAcentral's name for it is "bacterial SSU rRNA". It matches the Rfam family "Bacterial small subunit ribosomal RNA", at positions 925 to 1382 of the family's 1533-position model. Lineage: Bacteria; Bacillati; Mycoplasmatota; Mollicutes. The record is from RNAcentral.